Molecule: ribosomal RNA, 497 nt
Filed under: uncultured bacterium
Lineage: Bacteria
Description: partial 16S ribosomal RNA
Rfam family: Bacterial small subunit ribosomal RNA
Source: RNAcentral
GAUGAACGCUGGCGGCGUGCCUAAUACAUGCAAGUCGAGCGAACGGACGAGAAGCUUGCUUUUCUGAUGUUAGCGGCGGACGGGUGAGUAACACGUGGAUAACCUACCUAUAAGACUGGGAUAACUUCGGGAAACCGGAGCUAAUACCGGAUAAUAUUUUGAACCGCAUGGUUCAAAAGUGAAAGACGGUCUUGCUGUCACUUAUAGAUGGAUCCGCGCUGCAUUAGCUAGUUGGUAAGGUAACGGCUUACCAAGGCAACGAUGCAUAGCCGACCUGAGAGGGUGAUCGGCCACACUGGAACUGAGACACGGUCCAGACUCCUACGGGAGGCAGCAGUAGGGAAUCUUACGCAAUGGGGGAAAGCCUGACGGAGCAACGCCGCGUGAGUGAUGAAGAUCUUCGGAUCGUAAAACUCUGUUAUUAGGGAAGAACAUAUGUGUAAGUAACUGUGCACAUCUUGACGGUACCUAAUCAGAAAGCAACGGCUAACUACGUG